This 482-nucleotide ribosomal RNA is filed under the name uncultured bacterium. RNAcentral describes it as "partial 16S ribosomal RNA". It matches the Rfam family "Bacterial small subunit ribosomal RNA", at positions 28 to 523 of the family's 1533-position model. The record is from RNAcentral.
GACGAACGCUGGCGGCGUGCUUAACACAUGCAAGUCGAACGGAAAGGCCCAGCUUGCUGGGUACCCGAGUGGCGAACGGGUGAGUAACACGUGGGCGAUCUGCCCUGCACUCUGGGAUAAGCCUGGGAAACUGGGUCUAAUACCGGAUAUGAUCAACUGUCGCAUGGGGGUUGGUGGAAAGCUUUUGCGGUGGGGGAUGGGCCGGCGGCCUAUCGGCUUGUUGGUGGGGUAAUGGCCUACCAAGGCGACGACGGGUAGCCGACCUGAGAGGGUGGUCGGCCACACUGGGACUGAGACACGGCCCAGACUCCUACGGGAGGCAGCAGUGGGGAAUAUUGCACAAUGGGCGCAAGCCUGAUGCAGCGAGGCCGCGUGAGGGAUGACGGCCUUCGGGUUGUAAACCUCUUUCACCAGGGACGAAGCGUGAGUGACGGUACCUGGAGAAGAAGCACCGGCCAACUACGUGCCAGCCGCCGCGGUAA